CAGUAGCCGCGGGAACACAGAGGGUGCGAGCGUUAAUCGCAUUUACUGGGCGUAAAGCGUGCGUAGGCGGCUUCUUAAGUCGGAUGUGAAAUCCCUGAGCUUAACUUAGGAAUUGCAUUCGAUACUGGGAAGCUAGAGUAUGGGAGAGGAUGGUAGAAUUCCAGGUGUAGCGGUGAAAUGCGUAGAGAUCUGGAGGAAUACCGAUGGCGAAGGCAGCCAUCUGGCCUAAUACUGACGCUGAGGUACGAAAGCAUGGGGAGCAAACAGGAUUAGAUACCCGGGUAGUCCCUGUCUCUUAUAC
RNAcentral lists this ribosomal RNA (301 nucleotides) under uncultured bacterium. Its description in RNAcentral is "partial 16S ribosomal RNA". It matches the Rfam family "Bacterial small subunit ribosomal RNA", at positions 509 to 807 of the family's 1533-position model. The record is from RNAcentral.